This 495-nucleotide ribosomal RNA is filed under the name uncultured bacterium. RNAcentral's name for it is "partial 16S ribosomal RNA". It matches the Rfam family "Bacterial small subunit ribosomal RNA", at positions 28 to 507 of the family's 1533-position model. The record is from RNAcentral.
GACGAACGCUGGCGGCGUGCCUAAUACAUGCAAGUAGAACGCUGAAGGAGGAGCUUGCUUCUCUGGAUGAGUUGCGAACGGGUGAGUAACGCGUAGGUAACCUGCCUGGUAGCGGGGGAUAACUAUUGGAAACGAUAGCUAAUACCGCAUAAGAGUAGAUGUUGCAUGACAUUUGCUUAAAAGGUGCAAUUGCAUCACUACCAGAUGGACCUGCGUUGUAUUAGCUAGUUGGUGGGGUAACGGCUCACCAAGGCGACGAUACAUAGCCGACCUGAGAGGGUGAUCGGCCACACUGGGACGGAGACACGGCCCAGACUCCUACGGGAGGCAGCAGUAGGGAAUCUUCGGCAAGGGACGGAAGUCUGACCGAGCAACGCCGAGUGAGUGAAGAAGGUUUUCGGAUCGUAAAGCUCUGUUGUAAGAGAAGAACGAGUGUGAGAGUGGAAAGUUCACACUGUGACGGUAUCUUACCAGAAAGGGACGGCUAACUACGUG